AUAUCAAUAAGCGGAGGAAAAGAAACCAACAGGGAUUGCCUCAGUAACGGCGAGUGAAGCGGCAACAGCUCAAAUUUGAAAUCUGGCCCCCUCGGGGGGUCCGAGUUGUAAUUUAUAGAGGAUGCUUCGGGCANGAUCGCGGCCUAACUCGCUUGGAACAGCGGGUCACAGAGGGUGAGAAUCCCGUCCAGGGCCGUGGGUCGCGCCCGGGUGAAGCUCCUUCGACGAGUCGAGUUGUUUGGGAAUGCAGCUCUAAAUGGGUGGUAAAUUUCAUCUAAAGCUAAAUACCGGCCAGAGACCGAUAGCGCACAAGUAGAGUGAUCGAAAGAUGAAAAGCACUUUGAAAAGAGAGUUAAACAGUAUGUGAAAUUGUUGAAAGGGAAGCGCUUGCAAUCAGACUUGCGCGUGACGGUUCCCCCGGCCUCCUCUGGCCGGGCUACUCCGUCAUGUCCAGGCCAACAUCGGUUCGGGUGGUCGGUGAAAGACCCCGGGAAUGUAUCUACCUUCGGGUCGACUUAUAGCCCGGGGUGCAAUGCGGCCUGCCCGGACCGAGGAACGCGCUCCGGCUCGGAUGUUGGCGUAAUGGUUGCAAGCGGCCCGUCUUGAAACACGGACCAAGGAGUCUAACAUCUAUGCGAGUGUUUGGGCGUCAAAACCCCUGCGCGUAAUGAAAGUGAACGGAGGUAAGAACCCCGUCACACGGGUGCAUUAUCGACCGAUCCAGAUGUCUUCGGAUGGAUUUGAGUAAGAGCAUAGCUGUUGGGACCCGAAAGAUGGUGAACUAUGCCUGAAUAGGGUGAAGCCAGAGGAAACUCUGGUGGAGGCUCGCAGCGGUUCUGACGUGCAAAUCGAUCGUCAAAUUUGGGCAUAGGGGCGAAAGACUAAUCGAACCAUUAAGAGGGGACCGGGGGCGCGUGCGGCCGGGUGGUUCUUCAACAGUCCUUCGGGGCUACAUCGUCCUUCUGGCGGGGAUCAGGACCCGCAGCAGCUUCGGCUGUCCACAGACUAGGAGACGGUGGUCGCCUUGACCAAGGGCGAUGAUGAUAUAGUCGGUUCGGUUGUGGUCUCAACCGGGGUCGAACGCUGGUAGCUGGUUCCUGCCGAAGUUUCCCUCAGGAUAGCAGUAACGUUUUCAGUUUUAUGAGGUAAAGCGAAUGAUUAGAGGCCUUGGGGUUGAAACAACCUUAACCUAUUCUCAAACUUUAAAUAUGUAAGAAGUCCUUGUUGCUCAGUUGAACGUGGACAUUUGAAUGCACCGUUACUAGUGGGCCAUUUUUGGUAAGCAGAACUGGCGAUGCGGGAUGAACCGAACGUGAGGUUAAGGUGCCGGAAUGCACGCUCAUCAGACACCACAAAAGGUGUCAAUGCAUCCAGACAGCCGGACGGUGGCCAUGGAAGUCGGAAUCCGCUUAGGAGUGUGUAACAACUCACCGGCCGAAUGCAUUGGCCCUGAAAAUGGAUGGCGCUUAAGCGUGCUACCUAUACCUCGCCGUCAGGGUUGAAAUGAUGCCCUGACGAGUAGGCAGGCGUGGGGGUUUGUGACGAAGCCUCGGGGGUGACCCUGGGUCGAACAACCCCCAGUG
RNAcentral lists this ribosomal RNA (1583 nucleotides) under Catapyrenium cinereum. Its description in RNAcentral is "eukaryotic LSU rRNA". It matches the Rfam family "Eukaryotic large subunit ribosomal RNA", at positions 40 to 1444 of the family's 3401-position model. The record is from RNAcentral. Lineage: Eukaryota; Fungi; Ascomycota; Eurotiomycetes; Verrucariales; Verrucariaceae.